AGUGAACGCUGGCGGUAGGCCUAACACAUGCAAGUCGAACGGCAGCACAGUAAGAGCUUGCUCUUACGGGUGGUGAGUGGCGGACGGGUGAGGAAUACAUCGGAAUCUACUUUUUCGUGGGGGAUAACGUAGGGAAACUUACGCUAAUACCGCAUACGACCUACGGGUGAAAGCAGGGGAUCUUCGGACCUUGCGCGAUUGAAUGAGCCGAUGUCAGAUUAGCUAGUUGGCGGGGUAAAGGCCCACCAAGGCGACGAUCCGUAGCUGGUCUGAGAGGAUGAUCAGCCACACUGGAACUGAGACACGGUCCAGACUCCUACGGGAGGCAGCAGUGGGGAAUAUUGGACAAUGGGCGCAAGCCUGAUCCAGCCAUACCGCGUGGGUGAAGAAGGCCUUCGGGUUGUAAAGCCCUUUUGUUGGGAAAGAAAAGCAGCAGGUUAAUACCCCGCUGUUCUGACGGUACCCAAAGAAUAAGCACCGGCUAACUUCGUG
RNAcentral lists this ribosomal RNA (492 nucleotides) under uncultured bacterium. RNAcentral's name for it is "partial 16S ribosomal RNA". It matches the Rfam family "Bacterial small subunit ribosomal RNA", at positions 29 to 507 of the family's 1533-position model. The record is from RNAcentral.